Microplitis mediator is the source of this 1857-nucleotide long non-coding RNA. RefSeq lists it as uncharacterized. The record is from RefSeq and is a predicted model, not a curated record. The transcript has 5 exons. NCBI's taxonomy places the organism in Eukaryota, Metazoa, Arthropoda, Insecta, Hymenoptera, Braconidae.
GCCUAUGUUCCAGAAUCCAGACGCUCAGACCCGAGACUUGGCGGCCAAGUAUUUCAAGCUGCCAAUAAAUUCAUUAAUUCUCAUAAAUUAAUUGAUUUAUUACAUUAAAAAGGUUAUCAUGUCAGUGCGAAGUAAAAAAUGAAUUAUUAAUAUUCUAGUAAUGAAUUCCGAUGAUAAAUAAAAAUAAAAAACAUAUUUUUAAUUAAUUAAAAUGUCAGAAGAGUUAAAAUAAAUUGAAGACGAUGAAAAAUUCUCAGAAGAGUAACAGCUCAUAUAUUUUACUAACAAAUUCAAUUGGUACCAAAUUUAUAAUUUAAAUAAUAUCUCGACCAUGGCAUUCAAGUAAAAUCGCUCGAGUUGAUAAAAUCAGUGGACUUAAAACACUUGCCAGCAAUAAUUAUUCAUUUCUGUGCAAACAAUAGCCGGUAAUUCUCAAAGCUCGGUACUUAUUAAUAAAAAUAAUUAAUAAUAUCAAAACAAUGAUAGGUUAAAUAUUUAAAUAGAAGCUUGAAAAUAAAUCUUCAAAAGCAGACCAACUGAAUGAUAUCCCGGAGCUUUUGGUCCCAUUGUACUGCGAAGACAAUAGAACUCUGCAAAGACAUUUUGAGACGAAUUACAUCCGCCGAAUCAUCGACUUCACCUUCAAUUUCAUUACCAUCUUCAUCUAAAUCUGCCAGCGAUGAGCUACAUUAUCGGACAGUAUUUGAGCUAUUAACACCGAACCGUGUAAAAGAAAACACUCAUACCGUCUUAGAAGUACUCCGGUUGACAUUUCACACCGUCGAUUCAUACUGAGCAGACCGUGUCAAGUCUUCGAGGACCAUUUUCACACCAAAAAUUUUUCACAGUAUGUUUCAAGUGGGAAAAUUUCAAAAAAAUUUCAAAAUGGCAUCCGGUAUGAUUUAAGGGAUUAAAAUUUUUCGGUUACUUAAGUUAAGUCACUAUUAUUUAAACCAAUAUGAGUACCGUAUUUAGACCACUAGCACUAUAAUUUUAUGACAUAAUUAUUUUGUUUUGCAGAUAUUUUACUGUCGGGCAUUUUGUACCGUACCAAGACAGUGUUAAGGUAAAAUAAUUUAUUAAAUUUAAUCUAAAUUUAUUACUCUCGGACACAUAGUUAAAAUCACGUCGAAACUAGCAUAUAAUGCAUUAAGGGAGCUCUACUUGCGACAAGAUGGAAUAGUUUGAGGGUUAAACUAGACUUAUAAUUUAUAAUACCCGCCGUAACUUGUACUACUAUUCAUAAAUAAAUACGUAAAAUUAACCAGUCUAUUAUACCAUAAAAUUUUUUGCUUAAUAAUCUAUCCAUUUAAAAAUAAGAUGAAGUCGUUUUUUAUUAAAACCAAACGUGUGAGGUCGCCAUAAGCCCUUACUUACAUUUAUAUACAUAUUUAUUCACUUCACACCACCGUAAUUAUCUACGAAAUCGUUAUAAGAGUAAGAAUAAGAACGUUUACUUACUUACUUACUCACUCACUCAUUCCUCAGUUACUCGGCUCGUCCUGUUGCAACGCACUCAGGCGUUACGUACCGACACUUACAACACCUGGGUGGUAUGAGACCGCAGGUAUGCACGCACAUUUUCAUUCACCAUUCCCGUAAAUAUGUAUCUUUACUAUACAUUAUUAAAUAUAUUUAGUUAUUUAUAUAUACAUAUAUUUAAAGAUCACAUUUAUUUUAUUUCAUCUAAUUUGUAUAUUAUAUUUAUAAAGGUAUAUUUAAGUCUUUGCUUGAUGGAAGAAAAAGAAAAUAAAUGAAAUGAUCUCUUGAGAUAUUUUAAUCAAAGCUCUUGUAGACUUUUCAUUCAAGUACCCGCCCUGUGUAUAUUUAUUUAUUUUUAGAUGAUAAUGAUUUUAA